GGCCAGUUGGUCAAGCGGUUAAGACGCCGCCCUCUCACGGCGGAAACAGGGGUUCGAUUCCCCUACUGGCUG
Molecule: transfer RNA, 72 nt
Filed under: Bacillota bacterium
Lineage: Bacteria; Bacillati; Bacillota
Also listed under: 5 other names
Description: tRNA-Glu
Rfam family: tRNA
About the family: Transfer RNA (tRNA) molecules are approximately 80 nucleotides in length. Their secondary structure includes four short double-helical elements and three loops (D, anti-codon, and T loops). Further hydrogen bonds mediate the characteristic L-shaped molecular structure. tRNAs have two regions of fundamental functional importance: the anti-codon, which is responsible for specific mRNA codon recognition, and the 3' end, to which the tRNAs corresponding amino acid is attached (by aminoacyl-tRNA synthetases). tRNAs cope with the degeneracy of the genetic code in two manners: having more than one tRNA (with a specific anti-codon) for a particular amino acid; and 'wobble' base-pairing, i.e. permitting non-standard base-pairing at the 3rd anti-codon position.
Source: RNAcentral